Molecule: transfer RNA, 72 nt
Filed under: Stegodyphus mimosarum
Lineage: Eukaryota; Metazoa; Arthropoda; Arachnida; Araneae; Eresidae
Rfam family: tRNA
About the family: Transfer RNA (tRNA) molecules are approximately 80 nucleotides in length. Their secondary structure includes four short double-helical elements and three loops (D, anti-codon, and T loops). Further hydrogen bonds mediate the characteristic L-shaped molecular structure. tRNAs have two regions of fundamental functional importance: the anti-codon, which is responsible for specific mRNA codon recognition, and the 3' end, to which the tRNAs corresponding amino acid is attached (by aminoacyl-tRNA synthetases). tRNAs cope with the degeneracy of the genetic code in two manners: having more than one tRNA (with a specific anti-codon) for a particular amino acid; and 'wobble' base-pairing, i.e. permitting non-standard base-pairing at the 3rd anti-codon position.
Source: Rfam by way of RNAcentral
GCAUUUAUCGUGUAACGGUUAGCACACUCGACUCGUAUUCGAGCGGACCAGAUUCGAGUCCGGGUGGGGGCC